CGGGUUUCGUUAGCAGCGGGCU
This 22-nucleotide microRNA is filed under the name Drosophila melanogaster (fruit fly). RNAcentral describes it as "dme-miR-981-5p". Its record names the gene dme-miR-981-5p. The record is from miRBase by way of RNAcentral. RNAcentral also lists the same sequence under 2 other names. Lineage: Eukaryota; Metazoa; Arthropoda; Insecta; Diptera; Drosophilidae.